This 376-nucleotide ribosomal RNA is filed under the name uncultured Bacteroidales bacterium. RNAcentral's name for it is "bacterial SSU rRNA". It matches the Rfam family "Bacterial small subunit ribosomal RNA", at positions 22 to 397 of the family's 1533-position model. Lineage: Bacteria; Pseudomonadati; Bacteroidota; Bacteroidia; Bacteroidales. The record is from RNAcentral.
GCUCAGGAUGAACGCUAGCUACAGGCUUAACACAUGCAAGUCGAGGGGUAGCAGGGUAGCAAUACCGCUGACGACCGGCGCACGGGUGAGUAACACGUAUCCAACCUUCCCAUAACUCGGGGAUAGCCUUUCGAAAGAAAGAUUAAUACCCGAUAGUACUUUUUCAAGGCAUCUUGAGAAAGUUAAAGAUUUAUUGGUUAUGGAUGGGGAUGCGUUCCAUUAGAUAGUUGGUGAGGUAACGGCUCACCAAGUCUUCGAUGGAUAGGGGUUCUGAGAGGAAAGUCCCCCACAUUGGUACUGAGACACGGACCAAACUCCUACGGGAGGCAGCAGUGAGGAAUAUUGGUCAAUGGGCGAGAGCCUGAACCAGCCAAGU